CCUACGUGAGGCUGCAGUGGGGAAUAUUGGGCAAUGGGCGCAAGCCUGACCCAGCAACGCCGCGUGAAGGAAGAAGGCUUUCGGGUUGUAAACUUCUUUUCUCAGGGACGAAGCAAGUGACGGUACCUGAGGAAUAAGCCACGGCUAACUACGUGCCAGCAGCCGCGGUAAUACGUAGGUGGCAAGCGUUAUCCGGAUUUACGGGGUGUAUAGGGCGUGUAGGCGGGACUUCAAGUCAGAGGUGAAAACCAUGGGCUCAACCUAUGGCUUGCAGUGGAAACUGUAGUUCUUGAGUACUGGAGAGGCAGACGGAAUUCCUGGUGUAGCGGUGAAAUGCGUAGAUAUUAGGAGGAACACCAGUGGCGAAGGCGGUCUUCUGGACAGCAACUGACGCUGAGGCGCGAAAGCGUGGGGAGCAAACAGGAUUAGAUACCCUGGUAGUC
RNAcentral lists this ribosomal RNA (443 nucleotides) under uncultured bacterium. Its description in RNAcentral is "partial 16S ribosomal RNA". It matches the Rfam family "Bacterial small subunit ribosomal RNA", at positions 338 to 795 of the family's 1533-position model. The record is from RNAcentral.